CCUACGGGGGGCAGCAGUGAGGAAUAUUGGUCAAUGGCCGUACGGCUGAACCAGCCAAGUCGCGUGAGGGAAGAAUGCCCUAUGGGUCGUAAACCUCUUUUGUCAGGGAGCAAAGGCGUCCACGUGUGGACGAGAGGAGAGUAACUGAAGAAAAAGCAUCGGCUAACUCCGUGCCAGCCGCCGCGGUAAUACGGAGGAUUCGAGCGUUAUCCGUAUUUAUUGGGUUUAAAGGUUGCGUAGGCGGAGUUUCAAGUCAGCGGUAAAAUUUCGGGGCUCAACCCCGUCGUGCCGUUGAAACUGACGGCCGUGAGUGAGCGAGAAGUAAGCGGAAUGCGUGGUGUAGCGGUGAAAUGCAGAGAUAUCACGCAGAACGCCGAUUGCGAAGGCAGCUUACCGGCGCCCAACUGACGCUGAGGCACGAAAGCGUGGGUAUCGAACAGGAUUAGAUACCCGGGUAGUC
This 460-nucleotide ribosomal RNA is filed under the name uncultured bacterium. RNAcentral's name for it is "partial 16S ribosomal RNA". It matches the Rfam family "Bacterial small subunit ribosomal RNA", at positions 338 to 795 of the family's 1533-position model. The record is from RNAcentral.